AGAAAGAAAAUGUUUAGUCCAAUGAUAAAUAGAAAAAAAAAAGAACAAGAAACUAACAUAAAACUCCAAACUAUCUCAAAAAACUAAGUUAACAUUUAGUGCAACAAACAUAAAAGUAGGAAAAGAAAACACUGUAAAAUAUCCAAUUAAACCAUGAAAAUGCAUGAUAUGCAAGAUGAGUCCUAGCUAUCUUAAGGAGGCUGCGGUGGAGGAAAUUGAGACAUAAGAUUAGCUAUGUGUUCCUCCAUUGUAGACAUCCUAGCAUUUAUGCCACUAGCAACAUCUCGUAAUGAGCCAAUGACUUCAAGGAUGGCUGAAGUCUUGACAAAAAAUUGAGCAUCUUAAGGUGGAGCUUGAGCGGGAGGUGCAACAGGAUCACCUUCUUCAACAUCCUCAUUAUCAUUAUCAUGGGGUUUGGUUUGAGCAACCUUCAACCAUGCACCGGUGCGAGGGUCCUUCUUGUAGCCAAUGUGACAAAGCGCUCCAAUGCCAAGAGGUAGAGGAUUUGCCAAUGAAGGAUCACCUUGGGUGGGAAUUUUUAGACGUUUGAAUAUAUAUGAGAGAUAGGUUCUGAAGGGUAAGGUGAUAGCGUUGGUAUGCUCUUUGCCAACGACCUU
This 617-nucleotide long non-coding RNA is filed under the name Gossypium raimondii (Peruvian cotton). RNAcentral describes it as "long non-coding RNA (GRAI_LNC001511)". The record is from RNAcentral. Lineage: Eukaryota; Viridiplantae; Streptophyta; Magnoliopsida; Malvales; Malvaceae.